GGUCUACACAUAUUAUUGCCAACUAAUGUCAAAAACUAAAUACCAUAAACAUGAAGUUAAACUAAAAGCGAUUGAAAUAUUGGACAGACUUGAUAGUAAAUAUAUCGGUGCGCAUAUUGGCGAUUUUGGUAUAUUCAAACGAUCUACUUGCAUCAAUUUGCUAUUGGAAAAUGCUUGCUUCAUUAUGCUUCUAUCAUGCAAUAUACGCGCAUUUAUCUGAUUCAUUUGGCUUGGAAGAAUCGAUUAUUGGUAAUCAUUAUUCGAUUAUUGACACCAUAAAACAAGUGAAAUCAUCAAAAUAUUAUGAGAACUUUGCCUACCUUAACGACUGAAAAAAUUUUUCGCUCGUCCUUCGCUUAUGUUGUAGCCAUUUUGUGAAUAUUCCCUUGACUUGACAUGAUUCAGAACUCAUUUUUGCUUGAAAAAGCGAUUAUUGUUAAUCAUUAUGCAAUUUUUUGAGUCAAAUCAACAAAAUAUUCUUACAACUAAUUGUUAGAAC
Long non-coding RNA from Tetranychus urticae (two-spotted spider mite), 499 nucleotides. RefSeq lists it as uncharacterized. The record is from RefSeq and is a predicted model, not a curated record. Lineage: Eukaryota; Metazoa; Arthropoda; Arachnida; Trombidiformes; Tetranychidae.